UUAGUACCAACUAUACUAAUUAUUUACCUCUUCUGUCUUGAUUUCAUUAAUUUAUAGUCUUUCUAAGAUAGUAGAAGAGUCUUUACAACCUAGAACGUAAAAUUACUAACUAACCUUCAACCUAUUAAUUAUUAAGAAAAAAAAAUAACCUAAGAAGCUUUUAUAAAAGCCAUGUUUAGAUACAUCAAAUUAUAAUUAAACUAAGAUAAUUAGAUAUUAAUUAUAAAUUCAAUUUUGAAUAUAAUUUCACUUUAUAGUCGUAUUAUAUCACGACAAUGUGAUUUGUAUGCUAUAAGUUGAAGGCUCCUAAUAAAGUCUUGUUGAAAGAUUGUUCUAAUAAUAAAGUUGGAAGCAUUAAUGUCAAGCAUACAAGGAAGGUUGAGAUCAUAUGGUUGCAAUAUUGAAGUAAUAAUGAGUGCUUCCUUCAACAUAUCAAAGGCACUUUUCUACUGUAGUUUCCAUUCAAGUGAGGCACCUUUUUCCAAUAGAUUUGUUAAUGAAGCAGCAAUGUGUUCAAAUCACCAAACUUAAUGGUGAUAAUAUCGAGUUGUCAUAGACAUAUAUAUUUAUUCUAAUAGUUACUUAUAUGAUUAAGUAGAAAUAGAUAAAUAUAGAUUAGUUUCAUAAAGUCUUCUAGAAAAGCCUCUUAGAAGUUUUAUAGGCACAAUUUUAACUUUAGAUGUAUUUGUAGGAUAGAAACUUGGCCAAUAAAUUAACUUCAUGUUGGUGGCUUGUGGAAUAAGUUAACUCUAUGUAGUAGCUUGUGAAACAAGCUAACUAUAUGGCACAUAGUUUGACAAGAGUACUUACAUAUUAUUUUUGUGUUAUUUUAGAAGUCAUUGGAUUAUUCUACUUCUAUAGUUAUCUUUUGAAGGUUGUAGAUUAUCCACCUUUAAACAAAAAAUCUUAUUUUUAAUAUUAAUCUUUUUCUUUAAGAGUGUGGAUUUUUCUUCUUUGUAAUAUUUAUUAUUAGAGGUUGUGGAUUACCUCUUCUUAUUAAUUUUUUUGGAUUUAUUUGAAUUAUCUAUGAAAAGAAAGAUUAUGGAUGCUAUUCCUAGCAGAAGUGAGAAUAGAUUUGUGUCUAUUGCAGAUCUUCAUAAGUUUGUCAAGACUCUUAAGGCAGAAAUUUCACACAUCACCAGCAUCAACCAUGGGAUCAUUACUUCUUUACCUAUGGAGGUAGCAAAGACAUGAACUAAAAGAUGAUGCAUAAACUAAUGAAAUCCAUGAUAGAGAAAGAGUGAAAAAAUAGAAAUAAAAAAGUACAUAUAUUAAAAGAAAUUGGAAAGACUUAUUGCCAAAAGACAAGAAAAUUUAAGAUUCUUGAAACUAGACUAAAAACAAGAAUGGAAUUGACAAGAGUGAAGAGGGCUUCACUCUUAUGUCUAUGUAUACCAUCUAACUAGGAUCUACGUAGGAAUGUUCUAUAGGACCUCUAAUGUGUGUUGACUUUAUAAGAGACAUGGCUUGACUUAUAAGGUAAAUUUUUCUAUGUGUAAGCCAUAUAGUUUGCUUGGCCAUCAAGCUAACAACAUGAGUGGCACAUGGUCAACUUAUUGACCAUCUUUCUAAUCCAAAAAAUCAAUUAAAGACACCUAUAAAUUCAACACAAUGUCUAUAAAGCUUCUAGGAAGCUUUCAUAGAAGAUAUUAUAGAAUUAACUUACUUUUACAAAACAUUUAUUAUUUCUAUCUAUUUAUAUAGGUAAUUACUAACUUAUGUGUGUAUGUCUAUGACAUUAUCAUCAUUUCUAGGAAAAAAAUCUAUGAGGAGUGGUCAUCAUAUGUUGAGAAAAUCUAUGAUGCGACAAAUUAUAUUUGUCACAUAUUCAAAUCUUUGUUUUCUUCAAAGAUGGUUGAUAGGGCCUUUCAAUCAUUGAUAGUAUUUCAUACCAUGGCUAAAAGACCACCAUGUUAUCUGAUUGUGUUCCAAAUAUUUUAUUUAAUAACUUCUUUCAAAUAAAAUAUUUGGAACACCGUCAAGAAUUGUUCCUACCUCUAAUAAAAUUAUCAAACAUUAGGAGUCUCUUUGAAGGUCUUGAUAUCAAAUGUUGUCAAGGUAGAGUGAGUUUGCCUCAAAAAAGUGCUAGGCUUUUGGUUAACACUAAAUACUCAAUCAAGUAUUUAAGAUAUAAAAAUAUCAAGUUAAUACAUAUAAUAUUUUUUUUUUUGGGCAAUUACAUCAAUACAUAAAUCCAAGUACCAAAAAAACACCCAAAUGUAUGAUAAAGUAUCUUAAAACUUUAUAUAUCCUUAUGAAAAAUAUUUUUUGAACUUCAACAGCUCAUAUCUCACGACUAGACCGUCGAAACAAUACUAAAUUUUAUCUGAAGUAUUGAUAUACUUUCAAAAAUUACCACAAAAAAGUUCAACUGCAAAUUUGUUAUGGAUCACCAAAAUCCUAACAAAAGCUUUAAAUCCUAGCUUACAUACACCCACAUGUUAUUUUCUUCAUAUCUCACAAAAUAAGUACUCAAAUACCAUGAAACUUUGAUCUAUUGCUUUUUAACCUAAUAACUCACACUCACAAAAAAUUUGAGCUAAAAAUUCGUCUAAAAAUUCAACAUAUGGUUUUAACCAUUACUAUUAAUAAAAUAACUCAUUUAUUGCCUUUGAAUUACAAGUACUAUCUUUAAUACCUUAUAACUCCUUCAUUCAGACUUGAAAUUCAUCAAAAAAUAUAUGUUAAGUAUAGCAAAGAAAAUAUUCUCUCCAACUUCAGUCGCCGAUCUUUCAUUGCUCUCUGUAAAUAUAUGUUACACUUCAAGAAUGAGAGUAGAUACAAAUUUGAUACCUUAACUUUGAACACCUAUAUCUCCUUUACAAAAACUUAAAAUCAAACAAAUUCUUCAUCAAAUUUAUACCUAAAAUCCUAAAUUUUUUGAUUCUAGCAUCCAAAGUUCGAAUGACUUCAAAAGAAAACCCCAAUCUCUAAUAAGGCCUUCGAUAGCCUCCUUGAAGCCCAUUGGGCAUGGCUUUCUACUAAUAGGAAUGAAGAUUCCUAUUCCUUGUCCAAAAAAAGAAAAGUACCUUUGAUAGGUUGAAGGAAGCACUCAUUAUUACUUCAAUAUUGCAACCAUAUGAUCUCAACCUUCCUUGUAUGCUUGACAUUAAUGCUUCCAACUUUAUUAUUAGAACAAUCUUUCAACAAGACUUUAUUAGGAGCCUUCAACUUAUAGCAUACAAAUCACAUUGUCGUGAUAUAAUACGACUAUAAAGUGAAAUUAUAUUCAAAAUUGAAUUUAUAAUUAAUAUCUAAUUAUCUUAGUUUAAUUAUAAUUUGAGGUAUCUAAACAUGGUUUUUAUAAAAGCUUCUUAGGUUAUUUUUUUUUCUUAAUAAUUAAUAGGUUGAAGGUUAGUUAGUAAUUUUACGUUCUAGGUUGUAAAGACUCUUCUACUAUCUUAGAAAGACUAUAAAUUAAUGAAAUCAAGACAGAAGAGGUAAAUAAUUAGUAUAGUUGGUACUAAGAUUAGGUUGAGAAUAGGAUUGGAUUAAAAUAUCCUUGGAAUAGGAUAGAUUGAUACCCAAGGAUCGACUAUUUGUGAGAUAGGAUCGAAAUCAGACCUCUGGCCACUAAAGCGACGGCCUAGGACAAAAUAGGGUUUCAUUUGAAGAUCGAAGGUUAGAAUUUGAAAGCUAGCUUGAAGUUCUUUCUAGAGACAUAAGAAUUGUUUGGAGACGGUUUUGGAAGACUUAGCAAUUGUUGUUCAAAAUCAGGGUUUGUAUCAAUGAUUUGGAUUUUAUAUAAUAUAAUUAGGGCUAGCAAUUUUGGCUAGUUCGUACAAUUGGCAUGACAUCUACGGUUGAAAAUUUGACAUUUUUUGGAUUAUUAGGUGUGGUAAUUGUAUUCAAAAUUUUGUGAUAAUCUAAUGGUGUGGUUUAGAGAUAUCUAGUUUUUAGCACAAGAGAAUUUUAGAAGGUAGUAGUUUGAGGUUGGGUAGGGUUUCUAUGAUAUUUGAAGAUCUAUCAGUGGGAUUAAGGUAAAAAUUGGCAUGAUGUUGGAAGAAUUAAAGAUCAAGCUACACACCAAUUUUGAAACAAAAUUAAUGGUUGGAGAAGAAAAAAUCAUUGCUGAAACUUUUGCUUUACUUUUCAAGUUGACUGUCGAGUGACAUUGGUGCAAUUUUUGGAGGUUUUCUUAGAAUCCGUAAGUUGGAUUGGGCUAAAUAUUCUUGAGCAUUUAAAAGACUUGCAUUGGCAAUUGUACGAAAAAUUCUACAUCAAGUGGACGGUCGGAUUGGAAGUUACAGCUUGUUAAAGCUCAUUGAUUAGGAUUGGGGUUUACAAGAAAAAUCUAAAUUGCUUAAAUAUGAAAGUAAAAAGGUAAUUGGAAUUUAUGUAUGGUUAAGACUACUAAGAAGAGUGUUUUAAGCACUUUUGAAUUGAAAUUCAGAUUAUAUUCUUCUUGCAUAGAUGAAAUGUAUUAGGAUUUUUUGGCACUUCUGAAACUUAAUCUCACCUUCCAUAGCUAGGUGCUCGAUGCGUUCCUGAGCAAAACAACACGUAAUAUGACAAAAGUGGUGAACCCAACAUGAAAGUAUGGGAUGGAAGGUAUUGGAUUAUAUUUGUGGAUAUUUAGAAUUGAUGGCGCAAGAAGGCAAGAAGGUUGAAUUUGGACUUUUUGAUGGAGCUUUGGAUGGAGCUUCAAGUGGAUCUUUAAAUGCAACUUCAAGUGGAAUUUCUACUGGUGAACAAGGUAUGUACCUUGAUUCAAAUACUACAAAAAUGUUUCAAGCAUUUACAUUAUUUAUGCAACAACAACAAGGCAAUGAUCGCAAAGAGGCUUUGGCAACCAAAGCAUUACCAGCAGUGGUUAACAUGGUUGACCAAUUUGAUGGGAGGGAUAUUUCCAAAUAUUUAAGAUGUUAUGUGGAUGAAAUGGAAUUGAAUCGCAUUUCUGAAAAGGAGAUGAUUCAAUUAUUUGAGCUUGUUAAGGUACCAAAGAUAAGAGAGCGUAUAAGGUCUAUUAUGGGACAAUUUGGAAGUUUAUGGGAGGUAUUUUCACAUGUAUUGAAGGAUGAGUAUUUUUUAGAGGAUAUUGAUUGAGUUACCAAGAAAUCAUUCUUGGAAUGGAUUGAAUAACCUAACAAAAAUUUGCAAGCUACAAAAUUAUUAAAAGAAUUUGAAAGGUAAUUUUUUUGAUUACCAAAAAUGAAAAAAUUAACAUUGGAAUCAAACAAGGUUGAAUUGUUUCUUCAAGCUGCUAAUGAAGAAUUAUAAGAGAAGUUAGAGGUUCUUCUUGAAGAUAAAGAAGAAGAGGAAGGAUUGACAACAAAGUGGAGAGCUGUUGAAGACGUUGUCAUAUUGUAAAUGCUUACAGUAUGUAAAAAUUAGUUAAAAUAUAUUAUAUGUUAAUAAAUCUAAAUGUGUGUUAGAGUGGCUAGUAGAUUAAAUUAAAAGGAGUUGAUAUAAGAAACUUUAUUUUGUUUCUUUACUUGUUUUGAUUUUGACAUUAAAAAAUAAUAUAGGACCUAAAUGUUUAGUAUGAAGCCUUGAAAGAAGGUGGAAGCCUAAGGAGGAAAUCUUAACUAAUAGGAGGCUUAUUGGGAGGGAUGAAAGCAAGGCAUGGUUGGAUGAAGGCAAGGAAUGGGAAACUUCAUUCCUAUUGGUCGAAGGCCAUGCCCAAUGGGCUUCAAGGAGGCUGUCCGAGGCCUUAUUAGGGAUUAGGGUUUUUCUUUCGAAGUCAUUUGGAGAUUAGAAGCUAAGGUUGUAAAGUUUAGGAUUUGGGGUACAAUUUUUGUGCAAAAAUUAGAAGAUUUCGAGUUAGAAUGAAGAAGUUAUAGUUGUUUGAAGUUAAGGUGUUAAUUUAAGACAUAUUAUUACUCUUUUGACAAUAUGAGGAGUUUUAUAGCAGCUUUUGAAGAUCGAAAGGUUUGACUGGAAUAGCGAUUUUAAGGCCUAUAUCUUUCACAAAAAAUUAUUGCUUUUGAAGUUUAUAUAAAGGAGUUAUAAGGAGUUGAAGGCGGCGCUUUCAAAUCAAAGGCAAUAAGUGAGCGGUUUUGAUUAUAGUAAUUUUUGGAGCCAUAACUUGAGUUUUCGGACGAAUUUUUGGCUCAAACAUUUUGGAAAAUGUAAUAUUUUGUGUUAAAAAGCUAUAAAUAAAAAUUUCGUGGAAUUUGAGCUUAUAUUUUGUGAGAUAUGAAGAAAAUUGCACGCGGGUAUAUAAAAACAAAGGUUUGAAGCGGCUGUUAGGGUUUUCAAGAUAUCUCAAGAUCUGCAAUGAAUUUGCGGUUGAAAUGUUUUUUAGAAGUUAAUAAGAAUACAUCAAUACCUCACGUAAAAUUUGAGUUUGUUUGGACGGUCGGAUUAAGAGAUAUGAGGUGUUCAAGUUCAAGAAAUUUUUCACAUAAGAAUAUACAAGGUUUAAGAGAAUUUUAUCAUAUUUUGGGUGUUGUUGGUUACUUGAGGCUUGUGUAUUUGGUGUAAUUGCUCAAAAGAAAAAAUUUAUAUAUAAACUUAGGGCUUUCCUUAUUUUGAAGCUUAAUUGAAUGAUUAGUGACAGCAAGAAGCCCAGUGUUUUCUUGAGGUAAAUUCUCUCUAUCCCGACAAUGCUAUUGGAUUACUUGCAAAAAAAGAAAGGAGAAAGGAUAGGUUUAGUACUCAAAGAGUGGUACAAGUACCAAAGACUCCAAUACCUACUACAAGAUUGAAUGUGCCUAUUCUUCAACCUCCAUUAGCUACACCAAAGAAAGAAGAUAUGGAACUUGAGGAGAUUGUACAAGGGAUGUGAGAUCUUCAAAUCAAACUUGCAAGGCUUAAAGAAAAGACUUCUACAAUAAGUUCAAAGGCUACUUUUAAACAAGGGUAUGUACAAAGAUGUAUUUGGUGUGAUGAUGAUUCUCAUUCUCAAAAAGAUUGUGGUGAAUUUAAUGAAAUGGUACAACAAGGCAUUGUUUAUUGUAAAGAUGGGAAGGUUGCAUUGAAAGACACUAGUGAUUUUCUCCAAACCAACUUUGAUAAAGGAGGCAUGAAAGCAUUGGUUAAAGAUUAUUUGACAACACAUGGAAUUACGGCAAUAGAAGUUGUAAGUUAUGGAAUUAGGGUGGAUAAUGAUGGUAGACAGAGUUUUGUUGGAAAUGUUCAACCAAGUGGACUUUAGACUUCUGCUAUUUCUACAAUGCAAAAAGAGAAGAUACCACGGGAAGCUUUAUUAAGAACUGCUGCAAUAAUUUGUGGUACUACGGGUUGAGAGGAUCCUGUAGAAGCUUUAUCAGUACAUGCAUAUAUUGCUAAAAGCCAACAUGAAGCUUUAAUGGAAGAAAAGAGGAGAAGAAAUUUUGAUGAUUCAAGAGAAAGAAAUUCUUCUAAAAGACAAACUCAAGGAGAUAAGGCUCGUACAUCAACUUCACAAGAAUUACCCACAAAGGAUACUUCAAUAAUAUCGGAAGAAAAAACAAAGGAGAUAAAAGAUAAAAGUAAAUUGACAACUUAUAAACUACUCUCUAAUAUUGAAGCGGCAACAGAUUUAAAGGGAGUGCUUGAAGAACGUGUGCUCAAUGCUAAGAUUGAGUUUACAUUGAAAGAAAUUUUAGGAAUCGCCAAGAAAGAAUUCUAUGAUAUCAUUAUUGACAAUAUUAAACGAAAGAGGUAAAUAGCGAGAGAAGUUGGAUUAAAUCAUGCUAUUGAUGCAUACAUAUAUGAAGGUGAAGAAGAUGUAUUCGAUAAUUGUUACAAACAAUCAAUAAGUAAAGAAAGGAGUCAUAAUCAAAGGAUACGUUUUGAUGAUCACGGUAAUAAAGAUAGAGAUGUUUCAAAUCAUUAUACUUGAAAGCAUUGGGCUAGAGCAACUACAGAGGCAUUAGUGAAGAUUGGAGAUAUGGAUGAACCGGUUGUUGCUUUGAUUGACCAUAGUUCAGAGAUAAACCUUAUGUCUAAAAAUCUUUAUAUGAAGUAAAGGUGGCUAAUUGACAUGGAACAUGGAUGGGCACUAUGGUGUCGUAUUACGUGCUUUCCUGCUCGAGAACGCGCCGGGCGUCUAGCUGUAGAAGGUAGUAUGGAGAUUCGCCAAUAUUCAAGCAGUUUAUCGGUUAUUGACUGCUGGAAUAUAAACAACUGCAAGAAUACACCGUAAAUCUAUACGGAUGUCCUUUGACUGCUCGCCGAAGUCCCUUUUACCCCAACCGAUAGGUCUCUAGACAUUACAGAGAACCUCCAAUACCACUUUGUACUUACGAUCUUGUAUCCACUGACUGUCUUGUUAGAUUAACCCAAUAAAUUUCAUUCACUCCGCAUACUCAAUCCUAUAGACACCUCUUUAAUUUUUCAAUCACGGACGUAACUCGAUUUCACAAAACAGUCGAGAGUAAUCAAACCCACUUCAUUAAAAAUCCUGAUUCACCGUUACAACACUGACUUCAGCAUUGAUUGCCUCCAUCUUCCCAAAAAUCCUAUGAAAAAGAAAAGUCCAAUUCUCUGUCUUUCCUUCUCCGACCCGAAGCAUGAAGCUAGCUCUCCCCAAUCCUUCUCAAAAAAAAACCCCCCCAAAAAACUAUCCCCCUAACCUUAUCCUCUGAAUUUCUUCAAUCUUCCGUCUUAGAUCCGAAAUUGGCUCCCGCUGUCAAAGCUUUCGAAAUGGCACAGAGAAUAGGAUACCCUGAAACAGAAUCGAAACCCCGUACUCGGGUGCACAUUGAGUCGUCCGACCAAUUUAGGUCUCAUAUUGGAUAAGAGGACCCGGAUUGGAUUCUCGAAAUUGGAUCGCAUUAGGUUGCCCGACCAAUUCAGGUCUCACAUUGGGUAAGAGGACCCGGAUUGGAUUCUCGAAAUUAGAUCGCAUUGGGUUGCCUGACCAAUUCAGGUCUCAUAUUGGGUAAGAGGACCCGGAUUGGAUUCUCAAAAUUGGAUCCAAUUGGCUCUUCGAACCAAGCUCACCCGUCGCUUGAAUUGGUCCUUUUCCUUCCUGGUGACUCCCGUUAUUGAAAUCGAAUGGAGCAUUUCUGUAUGCCCCGACUAACUGUAACGGGGUGACUGAACCUGGCCACUCAGUAUUUGCACUGGAGUUGGUCGUUGCUCCCAAUAUUCGAGGUAACUGAACAUUAAUAAAAUUCCCCUUUCUUUUUAUUUUCAUGGUAUACUUGUAUUACAAUACGACAACGGGUAGCCAAUAAUACAUAUAGGAAGUUAUAUGAUGCUUGCCCGAAUGUGAAAAUUUGGAUUGGUGAUGUUGCAAUAGAAUAGAAUUUUUUUUGUUCAAGAGGCAACAUCUUAUCGUCUUAUUUUGGGACAACCAUAUAUUAUUGCAACUGAAAUGGAAACAAAGAUACUUGAUGAUAGUUCAGCUUAUGCACGAAUUCAUAGUGAAGAUGGGAGGAGGGCAGUACAGUUUUUAACUAUGCCUCCAAAUCAUGAGCAGAAUCGAGACAAAUUGAGAAAAAAUCCAUUGCCGAGGAUUGUUGAAGAAUUCAAGGAUUUUUUGGAGGUACCACUAUAAAGCGAGAUUAUAGAGGUACAUAAAGAGAGGUACUCUCGCAAGAUGUAGGUAUCUUUAAUGGAGGAUUUAUUAACAUUUUUGAAAAUAGAAGCAUUAUGUAUAAGAAGAUUGAUGAUUUAAAAAGAAAAAUAAAAAAAAGGAAUUAAGUACUAUUGAAAAAAAAUUGUAUAGAUUAGAAAUAUUAAAAGAUAAUGAAAAGAUUGCUGGUAUUUAUGAAGAAAAUGGAUUGGAAGAUCUAUUGGAAUUGAUUGCGUCUAUUAGAUUAGGAAAUAAUGAUAAAGUUAUACCAAUUCAUUCAAGAGAAGUUUAUGAUAUGAUUGAAUCUUUUCAAGCACCGGAGGUUAUAGUUGAGACAAAAUAUAAGAUAGUAGAUAAGAAAGUUAAAUCGGUUGCCAGACCUUUGCCAGAAGAUUCUAAAGAACAAUAGAGAGAAGCAUCAAGAGAAAGGAGCUUGAGAUAUUUAAAGAAUAUUGGUCACAAGUUUACUAAAGAGACUUUUGAAGAAUUUAACAUUGGUUUUGAUGGUUCUUUAUUACCAGAGGAAAUUACUUGCUUCAAAGAGAUGUUGACAAAAUAAAGUAGAUCAUUUGCCUUUGAAUCUUAUGAAAUUGGAUGUGUGGAUCCAAAUAUUGUAACACCUAUGGUUAUUUUUACUCUACCACAUGUAUUUUGGAAUUUAAGGCCAAUUCCAGUACCAAGGACACAUUUAUCAAGCUUGGUGGAAUUAUUAAAAGAAAAAAUAAAGAUGAAGAUCUUGGAGCCCUCUUUUGCACCAUAUUCUAGUCGAUGGUUUACAGUGCCUAAGAAAAAUAGGUCAUUACGUUUUAUUCAAGAUAUACAAUCAAUGAAUGUAAUAACUAUCAGAAAUGUAAGAAUUGGGCCUAUAGUAGAUGAAUUUGUUGAGGCGUUUGCAUGAAGGGCAACCUAUUCAAUGGGUGAUUUGUAUUCGGGCUAUGACCAAUUUCAACUUGUAGAGGGAAGUAGAGAUAUGAUAAUGAUGAGGAUACCACUUGGAUUAAUUAGAAUGUAUACUCUUUCUCAAGGCGCAACCAACUCAGUUGCACAUAUGAUGAACGGGAUGAAUAAGAUAUUGAGAGAUUUUAUUCUGAAGAAGGCUAUGCCUUUUUAAGAUGAUGUUCUUAUAAAGGGGUGCAAAGAAGAAGACAAGGAUCAAACUUAAGAUAAGAAGGAGUGUCACAAAUAUGUUGCUAAUUAUAUAUAAGAUUGUAAAAAACUAUUGACUCAACUUGGAAAAGUUCAUCUUAUAUUAUCGGGUAUAAAAUCUAUAUUUGGAGUACAAGAGGUUGUGAUUGUUGGAUAUUUGUGUGGAUUUUAUGGAAGAAAACCAGAUCCAACUAAGGUUGAUGCGAUUGGGAGAAUGAAAGAGGAUUGUAGUUCUUUAAUAGAAGUUCACAGGUUUUUAGGUGCAUGUGUAUUUUAUCAUAUUUGAAUUCCUCAUUGUGCUCACAUAGCAGAUCCAUUGUAUGAACUAUUACGUAAAGGCUAUCGAUUCAAAUGGAAAGAAAAGCAUGUUAAAGUAGUGCAAAGGUUGAAGAAAUUAUUGCUAUCACCUCUAGUGUUGAAAAAUAUUGAUUAUAAGAGUAAUAGAUCAGUGAUUCUUACUGUGGAUACUAAUCCAAUUGCCAUUGGAUUGACUGUAGGUCAGGAUGACUCAAAUGGACACAUAUUUGCAGUACAAUUUGGAACUAAAGUUUUAAGUAUUUGCCAACGUAUAUAUUUACAGGUGAAAAGGAAACUAUGGGAAGUUGUUUUAGCUAUGAAAGCUGAAAAGGAUUAUUUGAUUGGAGCUAUGAUGGUAAUUGAAACAGAUUGUUUACCUUAACUUGGAAUGAUUACCAAUUGUACAAUAUCAGAUAUUAUAAUGUUGAGAUGGAUUGCUUAUAUCAAAUCACUAAAUCCAAAAUUUAGGCAUGUUGCGGAAAAAGACAAUCUGAUAGCAGAUAUGAUAUUUUGAGCAGUAUAUGAAAGAGAAGACAAGAUGGUUGAAGAUAUUGAUGAUGUUGGAAUAAAAUUCUAUUCAAUAUUAAAUCUUAAUAAAGAAGACAAGAUAUUUUUUGAAGAGCUUUGUAAAGGAGAAUUAUAAGAAAUUGGUCUUUAUUUGAAUACCUUGAUUAAACAAGAGAAUUGGUCAAAAGAAAAAUUUAAUCAAAUAAGAAAGAAGACUUAUGGAUUUUUGCUUCAAGAAGGAUUUUUAUGGAAAAGACCAAAGAAAGGAAUUCGAAUGCGAAGACGAGUAGUAGGUACUAAAGAAGAUCAACAAAGACUACUCAAAGAAUUUCAUGAGAGUCUAUCGGUGGAACAUAGAGGAAUUUGGACUACUUUUGCUAAAAUGAAGGAACGAUGUUGGUGGAAGAAUGUGUAUCAGGAUGUAACUUUAUUUGUAGAGUCUUGUGUGACUUGUCAAAUAUAUUCAAAUAUACGAUAUUGAAAUGGGUUGCAUCCGACAUAUCCUUUGGCUAUUCAUUUUAAAUGGGUUGUGGAUUUGGUUAUUAUAUCGAUGGAACUAUGGCAAAUGAGAUAUUUAGUUUUGGCUCGUGAAGAUUUAUCAAACCAAGUAAAAGGCAGGGCACUAGGAGCAAAGUCUACAAAGGGAAUUUGUAGGUUUAUACUUGAGAAAGUUAUUUGUUGCUAUGGAUGUGUAAAAAAAAUCACUGCAGAUCGAGGAGAAUUGGAUGCACAUGAAGCUCGUGAUUUUUUUAAGAGAUGUGGAAUCAAAUUAUCAUUGACUACUGCUUAUAAUCUAGAAGAGAAUACAAAGAGUGAUCGUGGGCAUCCAACAAUUAUAAAAGCCUUAGUUAAAGCUUGCAAUGGAAGAAUGAGAGAAUGGCCUUGACUUCUACCUUAUGCAUUAUGGACUGAUCGAACAACACAUAGUUCGGUGAUAGGAUAUAUUCCAGUGGAACUUAUGACAAGUCAAAAACCAAUUAUGUCGAUUGAAGAAAAUGUGCCAACUUGGAGUAUGCUACCAUGGGAAGAUGGGUUGAUAAGAGAAGAAUUAUUAGUCAUUAGAAUCCGGCAACUUGAACAAAGAUCAGAAGAUGUGGAACUAGCAUUAAAAAGGUUACAAAAGGCAAUGUUAGGAAAUAAGACUCGAUUUGACAAGCAACAUCGAUUGAGACCUAGAACAAUUGAAGAAGGUGAUUGGGUACUUGUUUAUGAUAGUAGUCUAGAUAACCAACAUAGUACUUUGUGGAAGUUUUUGAAACGUCGGUUUGGACCAUAUGUGAUAGUAACAGUUCAUGAUAAUGCCACAUAUUUAUUAAAGGAGUUAGAUGGUACGAGGUUAAAAAUACCUAUUGUUGAAAAGCGAGUGAAGAUUUUUAAAAGACGAGAUAGAGAAAUCAAUAUGGAGGAUCAUACUGAAGCUAUUGGCAUUUUUGAAGAAGACAAUUAUUUUGAAGAGGAUGGUGAAAAUAGAAAUGAAGAAUUUGAUGAAAAAAAUGAAGAGAUGGUGUGAUGCCAAUUAUGACAUAUGAUUCAUUUGGCAUAGGCCAGAGGAUGUGCAGGUUAAAAGGGGGUGGAUGUCGUGAUGUUAUACAUCUAUAUAGUGAAAUUAUACUCAAAUUGAAUUUAUAAUUAAUAUCUAAUUAUCUUAGUUUAAUUAUAAUUUGAGGCAUCUAAACAUGGCUUUUAUAAAAGCCUCUUAGGUUAUUUUCUUAUCUUAAUAAUUAGUAGGUUGAAGGUUAGUUAGUAAUUUUACCUUCUAGGUUAUAGAGACUCUUCUACUAUCUUAGAAAGACCAUAAAUUAAUGAAAUCAGGAUAGAAGAGGUAAAUAAUUAGUAUAGUUGGUACUAAGGUUAAGUUGAAAAUUGGGUUGGGCUAUAAUAUCCUUGGGAUAAGAUAGAUUGAUACUCGGGGGUUGACCAUUUGUGAGAUAGGAUCAAAAUGAGAUCUCUAGCCACUAGAAUAACGGCCUAGGACAAAAUAGGAUUUCAUUUGAAGUUCAAAGGUUAGGAUUUGAAAGCUAGCUUGAAGUUCUUUUCAAAGACAUAAGGAUUGUUUGAAGACGGUUUUGGAAGACUUAACAAUUAUUGUUCAAAGUUAGGGUUUGUAUCAAUGAUUUGGAUUUUAUAUAAUAUAAUUAGGACUAGCAAUUUUGGCUAGUUCGUUGAAUUGGAAUGACAUCUAUAGUUGAAAAUUUGAUAUUUUUUGGAUCAUUGGGUGUGCUAAGCAUAUUUAAAAUUUUGUGAUAAUCUAAUGGUGUGAUUUAGAGAUAUCUAGUUUUUAGCACAAGAGAGUUUUAGAAGGUGGUAGUUUGAGGUUGGAUAGGGUUUGUAUUAUAUUUAGAAAUCUAUCAAUGGAAUUAAGGUUAAAAUUGGCAUGAUAUUGGAAGAAUUAAAGAUCAAGCUACACACCAAUUUUGAGACAAAGUUAAUGGUUGGAGAAGGAGAAAUCAUUGCUGAAACUUUUGCUUUACUUUUCAAGUUGGCUGUUGAGUGACAUUGGUGCAAUUUUUGGAGGUUUUCAUAGAAUCCGUAAGUUGGAUUGGACUAAAUAUUCUGGAGCAUUUAAAAGACUUGCAUUGGUAAUUGUAUGAAAAAUUCUACAACAAGUGGACGGUCGGAUUGGAAGUUAUAGCUUAUUAAAGCUCACUGAUUAGGAUUGGGGUUUAUAAGAAAAAUCUAAAUUGCU
This 14084-nucleotide long non-coding RNA is filed under the name Physcomitrium patens. RNAcentral describes it as "long non-coding RNA (PPAT_LNC010524)". The record is from RNAcentral. Lineage: Eukaryota; Viridiplantae; Streptophyta; Bryopsida; Funariales; Funariaceae.